RNAcentral lists this unclassified non-coding RNA (1231 nucleotides) under Hevea brasiliensis (rubber tree). The record is from RNAcentral. Lineage: Eukaryota; Viridiplantae; Streptophyta; Magnoliopsida; Malpighiales; Euphorbiaceae.
AAAAAAGUUAAAUUAUUUCUUAGUAUCAGUCCAUGCGUUGGUCCCCUUAUGCAUGAUACAAACGUAUAAUUGAUUUCUUUAUUGGAUGCUGCAAUUCUUCCAGCUUUUGGUUGGGGUUUCAGUAAAUGUUUUGCUACAAAAUUCUUACCUCCCAUCAUUCAACCAAAACCAUAGCUACUUAAAGAGUAAUUGAGGUUAUAAGAAGCAUAAAAAAUCUAAUGACUACCCAUUAUUCAUACAUGAUGCAUCACAGUUGCUAACAGGGACUCUGCUGUUACAGUUAAUCAUCAAACCAUGCAUGCUAAUACUAAUGCUUUAACACAAUUGUCUCUCUUUUCCAUUUGAAACAUCAUAUUGGGGAAAUCAUGCCAGACAGGAGUGCACAAUUCAGUCUUGUCAUCAACACAAACAUUCAUCAGGCAUUCAAACGUACACAAGCACAAACCCACAACCGAAAAGCUUCCAUCAAACACUUUAACUCCCAUACCAUGAUUGUCCUUAAUGGCUUUCUCACUCAACAUCAUACCCUUUGUCUUGAAGCUCUUGUAUGACUUCAUUCCUCAUCCUCAGCCACAGCUUCUGCGCCUCUUGCUCAAACUUCUUGUUCUGCAACUCUUUCUGAUAAUUAUACGCAUCUUUAUCCGUUUCCACAAUCCCUUUGGGUCCAAUUGUCGUGCCGAUCAUUCCCCCCUUGGCAAUGAACUCUUCCAUGGCUUCUGUGUCGCCUGGAUAUGGGAACUCUCGCCUCUCAUACAAGUGAGCUAGCUCUCGCUCCUCCUUUGGCUUUGGCUUUAGCGUCCACCAACCAAGCGGCGAUGUUUCGUUGUAGAGCCACGCAACCCCAAAUAGUGUGUAGGUGCAGAGCAAAGCCUUGCCCACUUGCUUCCAAAAGUACCAGUCUUCUUUUCCCAAUCCUACUUUCCUAAGGUACUUGUCGUAAUUCACCGUUUUAAGAUAUUCAAAGCCUGAAAACAUUAACCUGUUUAUUCUCUCUUUUUUUUCAAGCAUUUCAUCGAACAGUUGGACAGCAGUUUAGAUGAAUAAGAAAAAACUAUAAUUCAUACCUGUUUUAGCUUCUUGAAAACGUUUACGAACCAUUUCUUUGGCUCUGGCUAUGACUGCUUUGAGUAUAACUCUUUUAUCGGUGGUUUAAAGUUAAAAUUUUGCGAACGAAGCAAAUAUCCGUUGAGACUGGAGAGCUUAACCUAACCUUACAUAAGAUGACCGAGUG